This 497-nucleotide ribosomal RNA is filed under the name uncultured bacterium. Its description in RNAcentral is "partial 16S ribosomal RNA". It matches the Rfam family "Bacterial small subunit ribosomal RNA", at positions 28 to 507 of the family's 1533-position model. The record is from RNAcentral.
GAUGAACGCUGGCGGCGUGCCUAAUACAUGCAAGUCGAGCGAACAGAUGAGGAGCUUGCUCCUCUGACGUUAGCGGCGGACGGGUGAGUAACACGUGGAUAACCUACCUAUAAGACUGGGAUAACUUCGGGAAACCGGAGCUAAUACCGGAUAAUAUAUUGAACCGCAUGGUUCAAUAGUGAAAGACGGUUUUGCUGUCACUUAUAUAUGGAUCCGCGCCGCAUUAGCUAGUUGGUGAGGUAACGGCUUACCAAGGCAACGAUGCGUAGCCGACCGGAGAGGCGGCUCGGACACACUGGAAGUGAGACACAGUCCAAACUACGACGGGAAGCAGGCAUAGGGAAUCAUCCGCAAUGGCCGAAAGCCUGACAGAGCAACGCCGGGCCGGUGAACGCGGUCUUCGAAUCGUAAAACUCUGAUAUUAGGGAAGAACAAAUGUGUAAGUAACAAAGCACGCCUUGACGGUACCUAAUCAGAAAGCCACGGCUAACUACGUG